AGGAAUAUUGGUCAAUGGGCGGGAGCCUGAACCAGCCAAGUCGCGUGAGGGAAGACGGUCCUAUGGAUUGUAAACCUCUUUAGGCGGGGAGCAAUGCCGGGCACGCGUGCCCGGAGGGAGAGUACCCGCAGAAUAAGCAUCGGCUAACUCCGUGCCAGCAGCCGCGGUAAUACGGAGGAUGCGAGCGUUAUCCGGAUUUAUUGGGUUUAAAGGGUGCGUAGGCGGGAUGCCAAGUCAGCGGUCAAAUACGGGGGCUCAACCUGCGUCCGCCGUUGAAACUGGCGUUCUUGAGUGGGCGAGAAGUACGCGGAAUGCGUGGUGUAGCGGUGAAAUGCAUAGAUAUCACGCAGAACCCCGAUUGCGAAGGCAGCGUACCGGCGCCCUACUGACGCUGAAGCACGAAAGCGUGGGUAUCGAACAGG
This 422-nucleotide ribosomal RNA is filed under the name uncultured bacterium. Its description in RNAcentral is "bacterial SSU rRNA". It matches the Rfam family "Bacterial small subunit ribosomal RNA", at positions 357 to 776 of the family's 1533-position model. The record is from RNAcentral.